CCUACGGGUGGCAGCAGUGGGGAAUAUUGGACAAUGGGCGAAAGCCUGAUCCAGCCAUGCCGCGUGUGUGAAGAAGGCCUUCGGGUUGUAAAACACUUUCAGUGGGGAAGAAAGCCUUGGGGCUAAUACCCUCGAGGAAGGACAUCACCCACAGAAGAAGCACCGGCUAACUCCGUGCCAGCAGCCGCGGUAAUACGGAGGGUGCGAGCGUUAAUCGGAAUUACUGGGCGUAAAGCGCGCGUAGGCGGUCUGAUAAGCCGGUUGUGAAAGCCCCGGGCUCAACCUGGGAACGGCAUCCGGAACUGUCAGGCUAGAGUGCAGGAGAGGAAGGUAGAAUUCCCGGUGUAGCGGUGAAAUGCGUAGAGAUCGGGAGGAAUACCAGUGGCGAAGGCGGUCUUCUGGACUGACACUGACGCUGAGGUGCGAAAGCGUGGGUAGCAAACAGGAUUAGAUACCCUUGUAGUC
RNAcentral lists this ribosomal RNA (465 nucleotides) under Vreelandella stevensii. RNAcentral's name for it is "partial 16S ribosomal RNA". It matches the Rfam family "Bacterial small subunit ribosomal RNA", at positions 338 to 795 of the family's 1533-position model. The record is from RNAcentral. Lineage: Bacteria; Pseudomonadati; Pseudomonadota; Gammaproteobacteria; Oceanospirillales; Halomonadaceae.